UUGUGAGGUUAAGCGACUAAGCGUACACGGUGGAUGCCCUGGCAGUCAGAGGCGAUGAAGGACGUGCUAAUCUGCGAUAAGCGUCGGUAAGGUGAUAUGAACCGUUAUAACCGGCGAUUUCCGAAUGGGGAAACCCAGUGUGUUUCGACACACUAUCAUUAACUGAAUCCAUAGGUUAAUGAGGCGAACCGGGGGAACUGAAACAUCUAAGUACCCCGAGGAAAAGAAAUCAACCGAGAUUCCCCCAGUAGCGGCGAGCGAACGGGGAACAGCCCAGAGCCUGAAUCAGUGUGUGUGUUAGUGGAAGCGUCUGGAAAGGCGCGCGAUACAGGGUGACAGCCCCGUACACAAAAAUGCACAUACUGUGAGCUCGAUGAGUAGGGCGGGACACGUGGUAUCCUGUCUGAAUAUGGGGGGACCAUCCUCCAAGGCUAAAUACUCCUGACUGACCGAUAGUGAACCAGUACCGUGAGGGAAAGGCGAAAAGAACCCCGGCGAGGGGAGUGAAAAAGAACCUGAAACCGUGUACGUACAAGCAGUGGGAGCCUCUUUUAUGGGGUGACUGCGUACCUUUUGUAUAAUGGGUCAGCGACUUAUAUUCUGUAGCAAGGUUAACCGAAUAGGGGAGCCGAAGGGAAACCGAGUCUUAACUGGGCGUUAAGUUGCAGGGUAUAGACCCGAAACCCGGUGAUCUAG
RNAcentral lists this ribosomal RNA (696 nucleotides) under Escherichia coli. RNAcentral's name for it is "partial 23S ribosomal RNA". It matches the Rfam family "Bacterial large subunit ribosomal RNA", at positions 1 to 733 of the family's 2925-position model. Lineage: Bacteria; Pseudomonadati; Pseudomonadota; Gammaproteobacteria; Enterobacterales; Enterobacteriaceae. The record is from RNAcentral.